Molecule: long non-coding RNA, 3135 nt
Organism: Melospiza melodia melodia
Lineage: Eukaryota; Metazoa; Chordata; Aves; Passeriformes; Passerellidae
Exons: 9
Source: RefSeq, a predicted model, not a curated record
CAUAUAUAAUUUGUUGAGUUGUCACAGGUCCAGCUUUUCUGCUUCAGCGGUACCCAUCACUUGGAGAGGCAGUGCGAUCAUGGACUGAACCAAAAGGGUUACAAUAACAGUCUGCAGAAACAAGACAACACAUACACACUGGAUUCAGGUCUACAUGUGGAGAUAAUUCAUUCAAUACCAAUAAAGGGUGCAUUUCCAGUGCUAAAGGAAGAGAUGUUUUAUGAUGCAAAGAGAAAAAGUAGACAGAAAAGAUAUAAAGGCAGAAGAUACCAUGGUCUUGAGGAAAUGGAGAAUAUUCAAAAAUGCUAUUGAACUUGGAGUGCUAUAACUGGUAAGCACCUUGAGAACCAGAGUGUUUCAUGGCCAAACAAGUCUCUAGUUUGACAAUUUUGGCCAACACCUCCUAAAACGAUUAACAGUGAAGAAAAGGAAGGAAGACAGUUAUUGGAGAACUACAUCAACUGUACUUUUGAGGGCCUGCUCCAAGUUAUGAUUUGGAGUGAAGAAACCUCUAAUAAUUACGAAGCACUUGGAUGCAUGCAUGCACUGUGAAACAUAAGCAGGAGGACUGUUCAAGUUCAGAGUAUUUUUUCAGACAUGGCUGAAAAAUGCUGAAAGAGCCAGCACUGCAAUCAAGAAUGCUGGAAAUGAUCAGAGAACCUAUUAUUCAACUGAUAGACAACAGCAGGGAAAGCAUGGAAAUAUGUUUUGCAUUCUCCUGAAGAAGUCAGGGUGACUUAAAAUGGUGAAGAGAUAAAUGGAUAAAGAAAACAGCUUUGAGUCAAGGUUUCCGCUAUGACUACAGAAUAAUCUGCAAUGGUCUUCUGUUUCAGGAGCUGUAGCUUGAAAAGCAGCCAGCAACCCCAGCAGUCCAACUCAGAAAGCCAGUUUAUUUCAUGGUAACUAAGAAGAUGAAGAAGAAAUCCUUCAUGCUUCUUCCUGUUUGCCAGAAAUUCCUGCUGCCGAUGACUGCUGAAGUCAGGAUUUGAGAUACGUCUUGCAAAAAUUCAAGAGUUACUAUUUCCAGGAACAAAACAAGUCCUCUGCUUAUGUCUUUACAGAAUUUGGUCCAAAUUACACCCUGGAAGCCUGAGAAAACAGACUUCAUUUAGAUAUCCUCUGCAAUACCACACUUCAAUAGAAGGAAAGCUCACUAUAAUGGUGUCUUGCCAUUCUUGUUCAGCAAGUACUGUCUUGUUCAGAAAGGAAAUUUAUUUUCCUGCUUUAAUUUAAUAUAGCUGUAGUAGCUGAAGGUCAGACAAAUUAUUUUGGUAGGCACAUUUAGUUUUACUUGGGGAAGAAACCUUAUCAAGCCUUGUGACAAAAUCAUUAGAUAAACCAGAUUCUGCAUCUGGUCUUAAAACAAUUGUAUUUUCAUUAAAUUCCCCCCUUUUCCUGAAACUAGGACACUUACAGAAUGGGAAGUUAGUUUCAUAAACAGUAAGGUAUUUUCACCUCUUUCCAUCCCUUUCCAACGGAUGUCAAAACCAGCUAAAAUCUAUUUCUGUUUGGGACUAGAGAGAAAACCAGUAUUUAGUGACCUUUCCUGUUUGUUUUCCUAAUGACCAUACAUCUAGUAAUUUGCAGGGUUCUCAUGUGGGCAUUUGUCACCUGUUCCAUACAGUGACCAAUAAUUAGAGCAGAACAACAUGUGGAAUGGCCAAGUGCAAAUUAACAGCUGUCAAGCUGACUUCCAUUUGGAAGGAAUAUGACCUGAAGCAAUUGGCCACAUACAUAUAUAUCCCCAGGGUAAAACAAGCUUGCAGUUGUCUUAAGUAGCUGCUGGAGAAAAUCCACAAGAAUAUGUAAUACAGUAGAUGGUGGAGCAUUCUCCUUUGUGCUAGAAAUGAAUGAAACUGCUGUUAUUUGAGCAAUGCUCAUUCUAAAGAGAAACAGGUUCAGCACUUUUAAAAUUGAAAUGACCAGAAUGUAUUCAAUAUGCUGGACAAGAGAAAGAGAGUAAUUUUUACACAGUUUACAAAAUAUGUGUGCUUGAAGACUAAAUCAAUAGUGAAUUUUCAGUGAGUUGCCAGAAGGAAAGAUGCUUGUCUGGGCAUCAGUGAAUGACAUCCAUCUAUUCACUAGACACUGAACCUUUUGGCAAAGGGUAUUAAAAAAAGCCAUGGGUUGUUUCACUGUCCACAGGAGUAUGAAAAUGGAACAUUCCAAACAGGAGAGAUAUACAGUAAGAACAAGACCAAAAAUAGAGGAGAAAAGCAGGAGAGACUGUCAAGUAACUAGAACAAAUUAGAGAGAGGAAAGGACUGGAUUUCUUUCCUCAGGAGCAGAUUUCUGUUUUAUUGUAGGGAUUCAGUGUCAGAGGCAGCAAACUGAUCUAGGCAAGAGGAAAAAAGUGGUUGAUUCUGAGGAAAAGCUUUAGUACCUAGUGCUCUGAAAGGGUGCUGCAGAUUUGUACAGGAACUGAGGUGGGGGAAGAUAAAGGUAUGUCCCUCUGCUAAUUGGAGUAAAUAUUCACAGCUCUUUUAACAAGCACCUGAAAAUAAAGAAUAGUUGUGUCACAAAAUCUUGUGCAAAAUCUCUUUGCACUUCUUAGAUGCUGUGCUUGUCAGAUGUUCCUGAAGAGAGACUGACCCUUCCUUAGUUUUGCAUGCAUGGGUAAUAGUCUUGGAUGGACUCUGGACUUCUCCAUCCUCCUCUGGUUCUAUCCAGUCCUGUGCCCUGCCUCUUCACGUAUAUAUGCAAAAUAUAUGCAUGUAUUUACAUGUAUGGAUAUAUACAUGCAUACACAAAUAAUUCCUAUAGAGCCUCACCAUUUCCUUUUACUGCCCACUUGCCCUAAUCCCUCUGUGUCCCACCUCUUUAGAGGCUGCCUCCUCCUUUCCCUGAUUUCCCAGGCAAGAGAGCAUGGGCAGCCCAGCUCUGCUGCCUGUCCUGGUGCCUGUUGUUUGAACUCCUUAGGGCAAGAUGCUGCAGAGGAAAUGCUUCUCAGCCCAAGGUGCAGCACCCACACCAACACCAGGCAGCUGUUCUGGGGUCCUGCACAAGGCAUCCUGUGUGACUGCAGCCACCAAACCCCACCAGACAGAGACAGUGAGACAUCCUGCAGGGCUGUGUUUGUACCAGGUACAGGCAGCUUUGCACAAAAAACAGCAAAAUGCAUUUUCUUCUAGAAGU